RNAcentral lists this ribosomal RNA (263 nucleotides) under Carapoia una. Its description in RNAcentral is "partial 12S ribosomal RNA". Lineage: Eukaryota; Metazoa; Arthropoda; Arachnida; Araneae; Pholcidae. The record is from RNAcentral.
AGUAUUAGCCUUUAAACCAUUAAAAUUUGGCGGUUACAAUAUUUUAGAGAAACUCGUUUUUUAAUCGACACCACUCGAUAAAUUUCACUUAAUUAAUUUAUAUACCGCCGUUUCAGAACUCUUUUAAAAAAGGAUUCAAAAUCAACAAUAUAUAAAAAUCAGGUCAAGGUGUAAUUUAUGUUUAAGGAAAAAUAAGUUACAAAUAAUUUGAAAUUAAGGAUUAAAUAUUAAAUUUUUAAGGAAAAAGAAUUUAAAAUUAAUUU